Molecule: ribosomal RNA, 249 nt
Filed under: uncultured bacterium
Lineage: Bacteria
Description: partial 16S ribosomal RNA
Rfam family: Bacterial small subunit ribosomal RNA
Source: RNAcentral
GCAAGUCGAACGGUAAGGCUCUCUUCGGAGAGUACACGAGUGGCGCACGGGUGAGUAACACGUGAGUAACCUGCCUUUAACUUUGGAUAACAGUUGGAAACGACUGCUAAUACCGAAUAAUAUAUAGAGUUGAUAGGACUCUGUAUCAAAGGAGCAAUCCGGUUUUAGAUGGACUCGCGCAUCAUUAGAUAGUUGGUGAGGUAAUGGCUCACCAAGUCGAAGAUGAUUAGCUGGUUUGAGAGGAUGAUC